UGUCACUGACGCUGAGGCUCGAAGGUGCGGGUAUCGAACAGGAUUAGAUACCCUGGUAGUCCGCACGGUAAACGAUGGAUGCCCGCUGUUUGCGUGUUUCGUAAGCGGCCAAGCGAAAGCGUUAAGCAUCCCACCUGGGGAGUACGCCGGCAACGGUGAAACUCAAAGGAAUUGACGGGGGCCCGCACAAGCGGAGGAACAUGUGGUUUAAUUCGAUGAUACGCGAGGAACCUUACCCGGGCUUGAACUGCAGAGGAAAGAUCCAGAGAUGGUGAUGCCCUUCGGGGUCUCUGCGGAGGUGCUGCAUGGUUGUCGUCAGCUCGUGCCGUGAGGUGUCGGCUUAAGUGCCAUAACGAGCGCAACCCCUGCCGACAGUUGCCAUCGCGUGAUGGCGGGCACUCUGUCGGGACUGCCACCGCAAGGUGUGAGGAAGGUGGGGAUGACGUCAAAUCAGCACGGCCCUUACGUCCGGGGCUACACACGUGUUACAAUGGGGAGCACAGCGAGUAAGCGGCCGGCAACGUCCGUUCAAUCAUGAAAUCUCCCCUCAGUUCGGAUUGGGGUCUGCAACCCGACCCCAUGAAGCUGGAUUCGCUAGUA
RNAcentral lists this ribosomal RNA (600 nucleotides) under uncultured bacterium. RNAcentral describes it as "bacterial SSU rRNA". It matches the Rfam family "Bacterial small subunit ribosomal RNA", at positions 735 to 1340 of the family's 1533-position model. The record is from RNAcentral.